AUAGAAUUGUUAAGGUUGGAAAAGAACUCUAAGUCCAUCACCAUCAUGCCCACUAAACUGUGCCCCUAAGUGCCACAUCUCUGUGUUUCUUGAGCACAUCUACACAUUUCUUGAGCACCCCUGCUGCUAAAGAGAGAAAACAAAUAACAUUUUGAUUAAUUUUAAGCUUCCUGACUGUUAAUUUCAUGGGGGCAAGAGUAGAACUCCAGGAGGCUUCAGUUUGUGUCAUAGUCUUCCCAUUCAUCACCUCCUCAACGAGUCCUUGCCCUUGGAACCAGUGAGUAGACAAGUCCUGGGCUGGAGAUGCAUCUCAGCUGUCAGGACUGAUCUGAACAAGGGCAGGACAAGGUGGAAAAGGGAGGACACAGGCAACCAGUCACCUGCUGGAUGGGGCAAUUGGGAAGAUGUGGAGAACCAAUGGGCAUCAUCUGCUGCUGGAGCAUUGCUGCUCAGAGUGCCUCAUAAAUCACUGCUGACUGCCGGGAUCGCUUUGGCCACUCUUCCCCAUCGUCCUGUCUGCAGAAAUGGGCUGCACGUUUCCACGUGGAUCGGGUCUGAAUUGGCUGUCUGAACCCAGAGAUUAAAGAAACAACAACCUCUCUCUUUCCUAUAACUCAUUUGUUUCACACAGGCUAAAAAUGGCAUUGCCUAAUACAGUGCAAUAAUCUUUCCCUUCCCUUCCCUUCCCUUCCCUUCCCUUCCCUUCCCUUCCCUUCCCUUCCCUUUCCCUUCCCUUCCCUUCCCUUCCCUUCCCCUUCCCUUCCCUUCCUUCCCUUCCCUUCCCUUCCCUUCCCUUCCCUUCCCAGAACCACAGAGCAUCCCAAGUUGGAAGAGACCCAUAAGGAUCAUUGCAUCCAAUACCUCUUCAAGCAGCAGCAGGGGUUGGGUUUUGAAGCACUCCUGCUCACUGAAGGAUGCAUGCAGGGUCAGCUGGGAGGAAGCUAAGAGAAAUCACAUGUUUUUUUGCACAUUUUUUUCCUGACAACUCAAAUAGUCCAUAAAACACAACGCCACUUCCCACUGCCCUCUACCUAGGAACAUCCUUUCUGUACUUGACGCUGACACUCUCAGAUUCCCCUUUUUAUUUCUUAAAGGCUUUAUAACAGACUGACUAAUUCAUGUGCACCUGGCUAGGCCUGAGAAUCCAUGAGCAUCCACAGGACUCUGAAGAUAACAGUCAUCCUGUCUAUAUCCAAGGCAGGUCACCACUAGACAGGUAAGAAAAUGGAAGAGUUCAUCCCUUGGCACCCAGAAUACUUCAUCUGCCUUCUUAUAUGCUCAUAAAUGUCUGUAGUAAACCAUGUUUUCUCUUCACCAAAAAUACAAAGCCAACAGAGAUGCAUAUUUCUCUGCUGAUGCUGGUCAUGCUGCAGGUCCCAGGAGGGUUGCUGGGUAGUGAGGGAGCUGCCCAUAUCUUUUUGCAUGCAGGGGAGGUGCUUGCAAGGAAAGAUCUCUAAUUCGGGGGAACAUAUCUGAGCUCCGUAGGCUUUUGGUGAAGUAUCUGAGAAAGGCAGCAGAUGUUGCUGAAAUUAUUUUUCAUCUGUUUUCCCCCAUUUUCUUACUAUAUUUUUUUAACAUAGUGCAUCAAAUUAAAACUCAAUAAACAGCUCACGGCUGCUUAUUGGGGAGCA
This 1631-nucleotide long non-coding RNA is filed under the name Coturnix japonica (Japanese quail). Its description in RNAcentral is "lncRNA (ENSCJPG00005019203.1)". Lineage: Eukaryota; Metazoa; Chordata; Aves; Galliformes; Phasianidae. The record is from RNAcentral.